RNAcentral lists this ribosomal RNA (443 nucleotides) under uncultured bacterium. RNAcentral's name for it is "partial 16S ribosomal RNA". It matches the Rfam family "Bacterial small subunit ribosomal RNA", at positions 338 to 795 of the family's 1533-position model. The record is from RNAcentral.
CCUACGGGAGGCAGCAGUGGGGAAUAUUGGGCAAUGGAGGCAACUCUGACCCAGCAACGCCGCGUGAAUGAUGAAGGUCUUCGGAUUGUAAAGUUCUUUUCUAAGGGAAGAAGAAAGUGACGGUACCUUAGGAAUAAGCCUCGGCUAACUACGUGCCAGCAGCCGCGGUAAUACGUAGGAGGCAAGCGUUAUCCGGAAUGACUGGGCGUAAAGGGUGCGUAGGUGGUUUGACAAGUUAGUAGCGAAACUCCGGGGCUCAACUUCGGAACUACUACUAAAACUGGUGGACUUGAGUGCAGGAGGGGCAAUCGGAAUUCCUAGUGUAGCGGUGGAAGGCGUAGAUAUUAGGAGGAACACCAGUGGCGAAGGCGGAUUGCUGGACUGUAACUGACGCUGAGGCACGAAAGCGUGGGGAGCAAACAGGAUUAGAUACCCGGGUAGUC